RNAcentral lists this long non-coding RNA (538 nucleotides) under Rattus norvegicus (Norway rat). RNAcentral's name for it is "long non-coding RNA NONRATT001937". The record is from RNAcentral. Lineage: Eukaryota; Metazoa; Chordata; Mammalia; Rodentia; Muridae.
UUACUCAUCAUUAUAUUCCUGGGAGGUAAGAUAGGAGCCCUUUAAACCCUGCUUCUAGCCUAGACAAUAAUGUCAGCUGUUAUCCUCAGGGACUCUGCUCUGUGGGCACCUAGAACAUCACUUUGUAGAAGAAGCAGCAUGAGAAUGUAGUUCAGAAGGCUGGAGUUUCAGUUUUUACCCAAUUGGUUUUAAGUUGUGUGACUUUAACUUGCCCCACUCAGGUACAUGACUUGACAGGAUGAGUCAUGUCGCUCUCUAAGAGCCCAGUCCUGGGUCUGCCCAUAGCACACAGGGAACAUCUGAUAUGAACCUACCUACCUGAGAGACAAAACAAUUCCCAAAGAUGAUCUCAGCCUGAAAGAAGGAAUAUGAGUCAUGUCAGCAUAGCAGAGAGCCAAUGGUCAGCAAGCAGAUUUUGAAUAUUGUAUGCCUGGGAGUACCCUCUAAUCCUUACAAGCUAUAUUAAGAACCCUCCUUAUGCCUUGGAAGAGCAGGCAGCACACAGUAGAAUAAAGCAAAGCAAAACAAAAAAAAAAAA